AGAGAGCUUUUACGGCAUUGCUAGCGGGCUUGACGACCUGCAGAGCUAUUCGAGAGAACAAUCCGAGAGUUUCGCCGUGGAGGCUUACUGAUAAGCUUCAGUUGGUGAUCCCCUUGAGAUGUGCUUGUCCUUCAUCAUCUAACCUUGUGAAACAAUCAAGACUCUUGAUUUCAUAUCCUAUGAGUGAAGGCGAAACAAUUUUUUAUUUGGCUGUUAAGUUCAAAACAACACAAUAAGCUACCGUAUAUGCAAAUAACAGAUCAUUCGAAAGCUUUAGACCCGAAAGUUCCCUCCCUUUCUCUCCUCUGCACACCCACUCCGCACACCCACCUUCAAUUCCCUCUCUCUGUACAUUCCACCAAAACCUUCAACGUCUCCAGCCUGUGAUGCUUCACACACAAGUCCAACCCGGAUUCAAAAAUCAACAAAAUGGUAAAAACCAAGAUCGUAAAUCGACGAGAAACGUCCAUGCUUCAAUGUUUGAGUCAGAUCUGGAAGAACCCAGAAGAUAAAAUACGCAACAAAAACAAAAAAUCAGCACAUUUUCCAUAUAGGUUUUCGAAUUCAACCAAAAUUCAAUCACAAAAGCUAAUCAAAACUAUUACUUUCACAGCACUAAAGAUCUAUAAAAGCUAAUCAAAACUAUAACUUUCGCCGCCGUCAAUGAGGCUCAGUCCGCGGAUCUGGGGGUGGCGAUGGCGGAGAAGGCUACAGCCGUGAAGGCACCGUUGAUAUCUCCCACAAACAUGGAGAAAGGAAGACCCAUCCCCAAAAUCACAGCAAUAUUUCCAGAUCAAGGAUGGAGGGAGGGAGAGAGAGGGAGAGGGAGGGAGAGAGAGAGAUAGAGAAGUCGUAUAUUUCCAGAUCAAGGAUGGAGGCGACGAGGUCUCCGGCGAAGGGAGAAAAGUGCUCGGACGAUGGUGGGGAUGGGUCUUCCUUUCUCCAUGUUUGUGGGGUUAGGAAUGGAAGCAAGCACAGGACCUGGGAAGAAAGCAAGCAAA
Molecule: long non-coding RNA, 1001 nt
Filed under: Malus domestica (apple)
Lineage: Eukaryota; Viridiplantae; Streptophyta; Magnoliopsida; Rosales; Rosaceae
Description: long non-coding RNA (MDOM_LNC007174)
Source: RNAcentral